CGUUCUCCUCUCUCCCCUGGUAUCUGUAUGUAUCUAAAUAUAUACAUGUAUGUUGGUAUUUCUGUGUACAUGUAUGCGAGUAGAGUGCGUCUGUACGCUGAAAAGGAAUUAGGCUCGUAUCACAUUGCAAUAUUUGCUGGAUUUUCAACACCUAAAGUGUCGUUAGCUAUUAUGAUAACGGAGAGGCUUCGUGAUUCAAGGUGUUCUUCGUCGCUGUGGUUUUUCGCGCGCUGGUUCUUAGAGUUCUGACGCUAAUGGCGGUGAUCAGCUUUAAUUCUCUUCUGCCUAUAUGUAGAAAUCGAAAUAAAAUAUAAUAAGAGAUUUUUAUAGCUAAUUGUUCUCAAUUAAUUAAUUGAAUUUAUGUUUAAUGGUUGAUUUUUUGACGGAGAAGAAUGAGGCUGAGGAUCAACAAGCUCUGAAAAAGCCAUAGAAAAACUUUGGCCCCUCUAAUGCCAAAGUCAUUUAAUGGAUAUUUCAAAUUUUUUUUUAAUGUUUUGGUUAGAAAUGUUGGAGAUGGGUGCGAUCUUGGGAGGAGGGUUCUAAAGCUGUUGAAGAUUAGAAGGAUUCAGCUGUGGAAAGAAGCUUGGAAAAUGGAACUGCAAGUCUGCAAGCCAUGAUGAAAGAAAUCAACCCCUCCAAUUGGUCCAGAAGGAAUACAAAAAAUUGUGUGGAAAGAAUACAAAAGGACCCUUGUUUGAUACACGUGAAAGAAAGUGCUAUAUUCCCUGCUGAUUUUACAUGUCACUCUGAGUUUCAGAUAUUCCAAGAACUUAAAGCUGGUAGGAGAGAAAACUUGUCACAGUAUCAGAAGCAAAUUGCCAAAGAACAUGUUGCAAAUGUUGAAAAAGAGCUAGAGAAGUGGCAAUAUGGGCAGGAGAGGUAAGAGAACAAACAAUGAUGCACCUAAUCUUCAAGAGAGCUAGAAACCCGCAGGCUUCAGAAUGGACCGCCAAGACUGGAAAGCCCCCAAGUGGCGACAACAAUGAAGAUGUUUAUGUCGUUUCAGGGUACUGUAUUCGAAUGUAAAUUCGAUAUAGCAAGAAGGGUGACAAUUGGGAAGGAUCGUGUUCUACUCAAUCCUUGAUCUCAUCAUCUAUUCAAACGGUAGAGGUAAGGAAUGAAUACAAAAAUUAUUGGGCUUUCUUGAUUAGUUUCAUACUUCUAUUUACUUUACUGACAGAUGAUUUGAUUUGUUUGCUUACCAUUUCCACAUAUAAUUGCGAUAACAUGGAUUACAUUUCAAGCCAUUUCUUACUUUCUCCCACCUCCAAAGUCAAAAAUGCACAUGACUUGGGAGUGU
Molecule: long non-coding RNA, 1300 nt
Organism: Ipomoea nil (Japanese morning glory)
Lineage: Eukaryota; Viridiplantae; Streptophyta; Magnoliopsida; Solanales; Convolvulaceae
Exons: 3
Source: RefSeq, a predicted model, not a curated record